GGUUAAGCGACUAAGCGUACACGGUGGAUGCCCUGGCAGUCAGAGGCGAUGAAGGACGUGCUAAUCUGCGAUAAGCGUCGGUAAGGUGAUAUGAACCGUUAUAACCGGCGAUUUCCGAAUGGGGAAACCCAGUGUGAUUCGUCACACUAUCAUUAACUGAAUCCAUAGGUUAAUGAGGCGAACCGGGGGAACUGAAACAUCUAAGUACCCCGAGGAAAAGAAAUCAACCGAGAUUCCCCCAGUAGCGGCGAGCGAACGGGGAGCAGCCCAGAGCCUGAAUCAGUGUGUGUGUUAGUGGAAGCGUCUGGAAAGGCGCGCGAUACAGGGUGACAG
Molecule: ribosomal RNA, 333 nt
Filed under: Escherichia coli
Lineage: Bacteria; Pseudomonadati; Pseudomonadota; Gammaproteobacteria; Enterobacterales; Enterobacteriaceae
Description: partial 23S ribosomal RNA
Rfam family: Bacterial large subunit ribosomal RNA
Source: RNAcentral